GAUUAACACCUCAGGAGGGAGGAGGUACGGGUCAGUUUCUAAGCUAGCCGUUUCCAAUUUGUGUAAACACCGCCGUCUGUGAGCCCCAACCAGGUGUGUUACGUUCACAGACUCAAACAACUUAGCCUGACUUGAACUAGGA
Long non-coding RNA from Poecilia latipinna (sailfin molly), 142 nucleotides. RefSeq lists it as uncharacterized. NCBI's taxonomy places the organism in Eukaryota, Metazoa, Chordata, Actinopteri, Cyprinodontiformes, Poeciliidae. The record is from RefSeq and is a predicted model, not a curated record. The transcript has 3 exons.